CCUACGGGGGGCAGCAGUAGGGAAUCUUUCACAAUGGGCGAAAGCCUGAUGGAGCAACGCCGCGUGCAGGAUGAAGGCCUUCGGGUUGUAAACUGCUUUUAUAAGCGAGAAAUAUGAUGGUAACUUAUGAAUAAGGAUCGGCUAACUACGUGCCAGCAGCCGCGGUCAUACGUAGGAUCCGAGCAUUAUCCGGAGUGACUGGGUGUAAAGAGUUGCGUAGGUGGCAUAAUAAGUAGCUAGUGAAAUCUGGUGGCUCAACCAUUCAGACUAUUAGCUAAACUGUUAAGCUCGAGAGCGUUAGGGGUAACUGGAAUUUCUGGUGUAGGAGUGAAAUCCGUAGAUAUUAGAAGGAACACCAAUAGCGUAGGCAGGUUACUGGGACGGUUCUGACACUGAGGCACGAAAGCGUAGGGAGCAAACGGGAUUAGAUACCCCUGUAGUC
RNAcentral lists this ribosomal RNA (442 nucleotides) under uncultured bacterium. Its description in RNAcentral is "partial 16S ribosomal RNA". It matches the Rfam family "Bacterial small subunit ribosomal RNA", at positions 338 to 795 of the family's 1533-position model. The record is from RNAcentral.